CCUACGGGAGGCAGCAGUGGGGAAUCUUCCGCAAUGGGCGCAAGCCUGACGGAGCAACGCCGCGUGAGUGAAGAAGGUCUUCGGAUCGUAAAGCUCUGUUGAGAGGGACGAAUGCCGCUUCUGUGAAUAAUAGGAGCGGAUGACGGUACCUUUCGAGGAAGCCACGGCUAACUACGUGCCAGCAGCCGCGGUAAU
Molecule: ribosomal RNA, 195 nt
Filed under: uncultured rumen bacterium
Lineage: Bacteria
Description: partial 16S ribosomal RNA
Rfam family: Bacterial small subunit ribosomal RNA
Source: RNAcentral